This 276-nucleotide long non-coding RNA is filed under the name Bos taurus (domestic cattle). Its description in RNAcentral is "long non-coding RNA NONBTAT018280". Lineage: Eukaryota; Metazoa; Chordata; Mammalia; Artiodactyla; Bovidae. The record is from RNAcentral.
AACUUAAGUACUUAACAGUACUCCCACUGUACCCAAAAGCUUUAGGAAACAAAAUAAGCUGAAAAAGUUGUAAAAUGAUUUUAGAAUUUGUUAUAUGGGCAGAAAACUAAAAUUAGAGACUAGUCUUCACAAUUAUUUGUUCAGUAUUAGAACCAAAAGAAGAUGAUGCAAAGGGAAGAAAGAGGAAAGGCAUGGGCUACCUUCAUCUGUCUAUUACUGUGAUACCAUCAGAUAGCAGUCUUCUCUUCUGUUAGUCUUCCUAUGUCAACUGAACUC